RNAcentral lists this ribosomal RNA (393 nucleotides) under uncultured bacterium. Its description in RNAcentral is "partial 16S ribosomal RNA". It matches the Rfam family "Bacterial small subunit ribosomal RNA", at positions 523 to 918 of the family's 1533-position model. The record is from RNAcentral.
AUACGGAGGAUGCAAGCGUUAUCCGGAUUUAUUGGGUUUAAAGGGUGCGUAGGCGGUUUGCUAAGCGGGAGGUGAAAUGCCGGCGCUCAACGUCGGAAGUGCCUCCCGAACUGGUGGACUUGAAUGACUCUGCCGUGGGAGGAAUGUGCAGUGUAGCGGUGAAAUGCUUAGAGAUUACACAGAACACCGAUUGCGAAGGCAUCUCACGAAGGGUUGAUUGACGCUGAGGCACGAAAGCGUGGGGAUCAAACAGGAUUAGAUACCCUGGUAGUCCACGCAGUAAACGAUGAUGGCUAACCGCUGGGCUUAUCAGUUCAGUGGCCAAGCGAAAGCGAUAAGCCAUCCACCUGGGGAGUACGACCGCAAGGUUGAAACUCAAAUGAAUCGACGGGG